MicroRNA precursor from Oryza rufipogon (brownbeard rice), 195 nucleotides. It matches the Rfam family "MIR812 microRNA precursor family". NCBI's taxonomy places the organism in Eukaryota, Viridiplantae, Streptophyta, Magnoliopsida, Poales, Poaceae. The record is from Rfam.
UGUAAGUGCAACCAUGAGUUUUUUUUGCCCAAAUUUGAUCAUCCAUCUUAUUGGAAUUUUUUUUAUAGUUAGUAUUUUUGUUGUUAUGAGAUGAUAAAACAUGAAUAGCACUAUAUGUGUGACUUAUGUUUUUAAUUUUUUUCAAAUAAGACAGACGAUCAAAGUUGAGCACGGAAAAUUAUGGCUGCACUUCAA